Molecule: long non-coding RNA, 331 nt
Organism: Zalophus californianus (California sea lion)
Lineage: Eukaryota; Metazoa; Chordata; Mammalia; Carnivora; Otariidae
Exons: 4
Source: RefSeq, a predicted model, not a curated record
UGUUUCCCUUGCCUGAGGAGACUGGUCUGAAAAAAUGUUGCUGAGAUUGACAUCAAAGAGCUUACUCCCUGUGUUUCUUUCUAGAAGUUUUAUGGGUUUAUGUUCUUGUGGAAGAUUGAGGGCUGGCCCAGUUUCAAGCUGCCUCCUGCCUCCAGGGAGAUGAUCUAUUCAGGGAAGCGUCAUUCAGCUGAAGAGACCCAUUUCCAGAGCCCUGGUGGACAACCUCGUGCCCCUUCCCCAUCAGCAGCCUCGCCUCAGAGUGCUCACCAGAAGAUUCUCCAAAAGAGAAACCCUACUGCUUGGCCUCAGUUGUCCAUGAAUCCACAAGUGC